AUGCUAUGUGGGAAGGACGAUGCUAUAUACGACGGGUGGCAAGAUGGGUUCAGAGGUUUGUUCGACCCGUGUUUUGUUGACGAGAUUUGCAGAGAUGAUGGUGAAACUGACUGGGAUUACAUAGACACUGUGAUGAACUCAGAAAUGAUGGGGUACAAGAUUGAUUGGUUGACAAAGUUGUGGUUCCCAUCAAAAUUCAUGGAUUGUUGGGUGAUGUACCUUAUGGACAAGGACAAGAAAACCAUGAUGGUCCUUGACCCUACGGAGACAGAUGUGAUGGAUGAGAUGAAGAUCAAGCAUGAAGCCCGUGCAAAAAAAUUCCAACGUAGAUUCCGUUCUCUUUUCAACAACUUCUUCGGCAACGGGUUGGUUGACACCGAUGGCUGGACAUUCUUAUACCCACUAGUGGCGCAGCAUGAGCCUUGCAGCAGGGAAGACAGCGGAGUGUACAUCACACACUACUACACUGAUUUCACCGGUCUGUACCUCCGGUCGACGCUGACUCAGGACUAA
This 513-nucleotide ribosomal RNA is filed under the name Triticum aestivum (bread wheat). RNAcentral describes it as "partial small subunit ribosomal RNA". The record is from RNAcentral. Lineage: Eukaryota; Viridiplantae; Streptophyta; Magnoliopsida; Poales; Poaceae.